ACCAGACUCCUACGGGAGGCAGCAGUGGGGGAUAUUGCACAAUGGGGGGAACCCUGAUGCAGCGACGCCGCGUGGGUGAAGAAGCGCCUCGGCGCGUAAAGCCCUGUCAGCAGGGAAGAAAAUGACGGUACCUGAAGAAGAAGCCCCGGCUAACUACGUGCCAGCAGCCGCGGUAAUACGUAGGGGGCAAGCGUUAUCCGGAUUUACUGGGUGUAAAGGGGGCGCAGACGGCGAUGCAAGCCAGGAGUGAAAGCCCGGGGCCCAACCCCGGGACUGCUCUUGGAACUGCGUGGCUGGAGUGCAGGAGGGGCAGGCGGAAUUCCUGGUGUAGCGGUGAAAUGCGUAGAUAUCAGGAGGAACACCGGUGGCGAAGGCGGCCUGCUGGACUGCAACUGACGUUGAGGCCCGAAAGCGUGGGGAGCAAACAGGAUUAGAUACCCCUGUAU
RNAcentral lists this ribosomal RNA (446 nucleotides) under uncultured bacterium. RNAcentral describes it as "bacterial SSU rRNA". It matches the Rfam family "Bacterial small subunit ribosomal RNA", at positions 330 to 793 of the family's 1533-position model. The record is from RNAcentral.